GGAGGGGUGGCAGAGUGGUCGAAUGCACUGGUCUUGAAAACCAGCGUACCGCAAGGUACCGUGGGUUCGAAUCCCACCCCCUCCGCCC
This 88-nucleotide transfer RNA is filed under the name Rhodothermaceae bacterium RA. Its description in RNAcentral is "tRNA-Ser". It matches the Rfam family "tRNA". Rfam says of the family: Transfer RNA (tRNA) molecules are approximately 80 nucleotides in length. Their secondary structure includes four short double-helical elements and three loops (D, anti-codon, and T loops). Lineage: Bacteria; Pseudomonadati; Rhodothermota; Rhodothermia; Rhodothermales; Rhodothermaceae. The record is from RNAcentral.